This 1852-nucleotide long non-coding RNA is filed under the name Rattus norvegicus (Norway rat). Its description in RNAcentral is "long non-coding RNA NONRATT030828". The record is from RNAcentral. Lineage: Eukaryota; Metazoa; Chordata; Mammalia; Rodentia; Muridae.
GAUGUCAUGGCCCUGACUUAAAAAGACUUGUUAUGCUGGGAGGUCGGUGUUCGUCACAGAGCUAUAGUGGUGGUGGUAUGGGAACAGGGGUUCUUUAAAUCAAGGAAGCCAUUAGCUGAGCUCUGGCAUCUUUUCAGGUCCUUGACAGCCAUAGAAGGGUUGCGGCGGCGCGGGGGACAGUGGCGGCGCGGGGGACAAUGCGCGGUCGAGUAGAGGGGAGCAGAGAGCCAGGCAGACACUGACUGUGUGCCUGUCGGCUCUAUGAACGGGCAAGUUGUCAUUUUAUCUCUGACUCCUGGCUUCCUCAUCAGUCUUCAUUCAGCUCUCUCUGUUUUCUUGUGUUUUUCCACAGGGUUUGGUAAAGGCUCCAGUGUGGUGGCCUAUGAAGGACAAUCCUGGCACGACUACUGCUUCCACUGCAAAAAAUGCUCCGUGAAUCUGGCCAACAAGCGCUUUGUCUUUCAUAAUGAGCAGGUGUAUUGUCCUGACUGUGCCAAAAAGCUGUAACUUGACAGGGGCUCCUGUCCUGUAAAAUGGCAUUUGAAGCAUACUUUGUGUCCUUUGCUCACUCUCUCUGCACCAUCCAUAGGGCAAGAGUGGGCUUUCACCUCUUUCAAAUUGCUCUUUCUGUCUUUGCUCUCAUUUUACAGUAUUAAUCAACCGAGGACACACAGUGAUCAUAUUAGAAUUUAGAAAAGAGCAACCUCGCAGCAAAAAUAAUUUCUCUGUUGCUGCAAUGGCAAAACAAAAACGUAGACUGACUCUUCUGCAUGUUUCCCAUAGAGCAGAAAAGUGCUAACCAUGUAGCCACUUCAUGAUGCAAGCAAAAAGCAUAGGCGACAAAGUUCCCACUGAGAUGCCUUUGGGGCUCAGUCGGGACGCACUGUGCGGUCACGUGACUGCUGUGCAGGAGUUGCAGCGGCUGCUCCAACUCCCUCCUCGCCUUUUUAAGAACUUGCCAGAAUGCAUGGUUUAACUUCCUUAUCAAAACUCUGACCUCCCUUCUGUUCUUUUGUGCUUUCACACGACUAACACAGAUUUCCAGAGAACUAACAUUUUGAACUUUGCUGUAAUUCUCAAGUGACUUUCCCCCCCUACUAAUGUUUGACUCCCCUAUGUGGCGUGUUCUCUGAGCGUUCCUACUUUAAACCAUGGAACACAGGUGAUUUGGAGCACCUAAGCAGAUCUGAGCAAACAAGCCUGUUUCAGAACAAACUCGCCACGGUGACUACUUCUGGAAGCUUAACAAGACUAACUCUCCUGUCCUUUUUCAUUUUUUUUAAAAAUUUUGUUUUAAUGAGUAGUAAAAUAGUUUAUGGAGUUGGAAACUUGCAUGACAAUAUAUGAGCCUCCUCAAACGUUCCUGCAGUUUUGCGAUUGAUCCUGUAGAAGUGACAAAAGCUCUAGAGUGGCAGCUGAGCAGGCACAGGGCUGUCAUCAACAAGAAUACGUUUCAAAGUAGUGACAAGGUGAAGUCCUUGUAGCAUAACCAUUGUCUGCUCUUUGUCUGCGUUCAGGAAGAGUGCAGAGUCCCUUUCCUUGUGAUUCCUAGAGAACUUUCCCUGCAGAGUUGAGUUAGAUCUCUGGGGCUGUCAGGGUAGCCCUCACCCUUUACAGGCAGGGCUGGGUUUCCUCCUCCUCUGAAAUGCAGGAUUGCCUCCCUGAUCGUACUCUCCAUUAUACCACAUGUAUAACGAGCCAAUAUCAAAGUAAAGAUGUAAUGAAAAUACACUCAUAUAUUACUGUAGGAGUGCUUCUAGAUGCCCACACCUCAUUUCCAUAUUUGUCAUUAGCUGUUUCCAUCGAAUGUUUCAAUGUAUCCUUACAAAAAUAAAGCAGCAUAGAAAGAACA